UACGUAGGUGGCUAGCGUUGUCCGGAUUUACUGGGCGUAAAGAGCGCGCAGGCGGUCGUUCAAGUCGAGUGUGAAAGCCCCCGGCUCAACUGGGGAGGGUCACUCGAUACUGAUCGACUCGAAGGCAGGAGAGGGAAGCGGAAUUCCCGGUGUAGUGGUGAAAUGCGUAGAUAUCAGGAGGAACACCGGUGGCGAAGGCGGUUCUCUGGGCAUUACCUGACGCUGAGGAGCGAAAGCAUGGGGAGCGAACAGG
Molecule: ribosomal RNA, 253 nt
Filed under: uncultured bacterium
Lineage: Bacteria
Description: partial 16S ribosomal RNA
Rfam family: Bacterial small subunit ribosomal RNA
Source: RNAcentral